RNAcentral lists this ribosomal RNA (253 nucleotides) under uncultured bacterium. RNAcentral describes it as "partial 16S ribosomal RNA". It matches the Rfam family "Bacterial small subunit ribosomal RNA", at positions 524 to 776 of the family's 1533-position model. The record is from RNAcentral.
UACAGAGGGUGCAAGCGUUAAUCGGAAUUACUGGGCGCAAAGCGCGCGUAGGUGGUUCGUUAAGUUGGAUGUGAAAUCCCCGGGCUUAACCUGGGAACUGCGUUUGAAACUGGAAGGCUUGAGUGUGGCAGAGGGGGGUGGAAUUCCACGUGUAGCAGUGAAAUGCGUAGAGAUGUGGAGGAACACCGAUGGCGAAGGCAGCCCCCUGGGCUAACACUGACGCUCAUGCACGAAAGCGUGGGGAGCAAACAGG